RNAcentral lists this long non-coding RNA (658 nucleotides) under Ananas comosus (pineapple). RNAcentral's name for it is "long non-coding RNA (ACOM_LNC023626)". Lineage: Eukaryota; Viridiplantae; Streptophyta; Magnoliopsida; Poales; Bromeliaceae. The record is from RNAcentral.
CGGUUGUAGAAACCGCCUCUACGAAUUGAGAGGUUGUUUAAACCGCCUCUUCGAUAACUAAAAACCGUCUCUACGUACUACUAGAAAAUUAGUCAUUAGUGGCAUUUAUUUAUGCUGCUAAAUGAUCAACAAAUGCUGCUAAAAGUUUUAGCAGCAUAUGACACCAAAUGCUGCCUAUGUCAAUGUUGCUAAAAGUAUUAGCAGCAUUAAUUAUAAAUGCCGCCAAUAUAAAUCAAUUAGUGUCAUUAGGAAUAUGCCGCUAAAAGGGAUUAAAUGCUAAUUUUAAAUUAUUUAUUAGCGGCACAUAAAUAUAAUGCCGCUAAUACAAAUAUCUGAUUUUAGAAAUUAAAAUUUUAAAAUUUUAAUUUUAUAUUUAAUUUUUUUGAGAUGCUAUCCGCUUCAUUUAUUUUUUUUUGUCUUAAACUUUGUUGGAAAUGUGAAUCAACUAAGAUUCGAACGUGAGACCUCGAGUACCAACAAUUAAUCAAGCCCUUUGCCACUUGCGUUAGCGACUAUUAGUUAUGUAUAUUUUAUUUUUUAUAUUUUAAGUCUUCUAUUUCAAAAUUUUAAAAUUUUAAAUUUAGAUACUAAAUAUAAAUUUUUAAUUUUGAAAUAUGAAAUUUUAAGUUUCAAAAUUAAUAGUUUUAAAUUUGAAAUU